RNAcentral lists this ribosomal RNA (2933 nucleotides) under Escherichia coli. Its description in RNAcentral is "23S ribosomal RNA". It matches the Rfam family "Bacterial large subunit ribosomal RNA". Lineage: Bacteria; Pseudomonadati; Pseudomonadota; Gammaproteobacteria; Enterobacterales; Enterobacteriaceae. The record is from RNAcentral.
GGGUUGUGAGGUUAAGCGACUAAGCGUACACGGUGGAUGCCCUGGCAGUCAGAGGCGAUGAAGGACGUGCUAAUCUGCGAUAAGCGUCGGUAAGGUGAUAUGAACCGUUAUAACCGGCGAUUUCCGAAUGGGGAAACCCAGUGUGUUUCGACACACUAUCAUUAACUGAAUCCAUAGGUUAAUGAGGCGAACCGGGGGAACUGAAACAUCUAAGUACCCCGAGGAAAAGAAAUCAACCGAGAUUCCCCCAGUAGCGGCGAGCGAACGGGGAGCAGCCCAGAGCCUGAAUCAGUAUGUGUGUUAGUGGAAGCGUCUGGAAAGGCGCGCGAUACAGGGUGACAGCCCCGUACACAAAAAUGCACAUAUUGUGAGCUCGAUGAGUAGGGCGGGACACGUGGUAUCCUGUCUGAAUAUGGGGGGACCAUCCUCCAAGGCUAAAUACUCCUGACUGACCGAUAGUGAACCAGUACCGUGAGGGAAAGGCGAAAAGAACCCCGGCGAGGGGAGUGAAAAAGAACCUGAAACCGUGUACGUACAAGCAGUGGGAGCACGCUUAGGCGUGUGACUGCGUACCUUUUGUAUAAUGGGUCAGCGACUUAUAUUCUGUAGCAAGGUUAACCGAAUAGGGGAGCCGAAGGGAAACCGAGUCUUAACUGGGCGUUAAGUUGCAGGGUAUAGACCCGAAACCCGGUGAUCUAGCCAUGGGCAGGUUGAAGGUUGGGUAACACUAACUGGAGGACCGAACCGACUAAUGUUGAAAAAUUAGCGGAUGACUUGUGGCUGGGGGUGAAAGGCCAAUCAAACCGGGAGAUAGCUGGUUCUCCCCGAAAGCUAUUUAGGUAGCGCCUCGUGAAUUCAUCUCCGGGGGUAGAGCACUGUUUCGGCAAGGGGGUCAUCCCGACUUACCAACCCGAUGCAAACUGCGAAUACCGGAGAAUGUUAUCACGGGAGACACACGGCGGGUGCUAACGUCCGUCGUGAAGAGGGAAACAACCCAGACCGCCAGCUAAGGUCCCAAAGUCAUGGUUAAGUGGGAAACGAUGUGGGAAGGCCCAGACAGCCAGGAUGUUGGCUUAGAAGCAGCCAUCAUUUAAAGAAAGCGUAAUAGCUCACUGGUCGAGUCGGCCUGCGCGGAAGAUGUAACGGGGCUAAACCAUGCACCGAAGCUGCGGCAGCGACGCUGAUGCGUUGUUGGGUAGGGGAGCGUUCUGUAAGCCUGCGAAGGUGUGCUGUGAGGCAUGCUGGAGGUAUCAGAAGUGCGAAUGCUGACAUAAGUAACGAUAAAGCGGGUGAAAAGCCCGCUCGCCGGAAGACCAAGGGUUCCUGUCCAACGUUAAUCGGGGCAGGGUGAGUCGACCCCUAAGGCGAGGCCGAAAGGCGUAGUCGAUGGGAAACAGGUUAAUAUUCCUGUACUUGGUGUUACUGCGAAGGGGGGGGCGGAGAAGGCUAUGUUGGCCGGGCGACGGUUGUCCCGGUUUAAGCGUGUAGGCUGGUUUUCCAGGCAAAUCCGGAAAAUCAAGGCUGAGGCGUGAUGACGAGGCACUACGGUGCUGAAGCAACAAAUGCCCUGCUUCCAGGAAAAGCCUCUAAGCAUCAGGUAACAUCAAAUCGUACCCCAAACCGACACAGGUGGUCAGGUAGAGAAUACCAAGGCGCUUGAGAGAACUCGGGUGAAGGAACUAGGCAAAAUGGUGCCGUAACUUCGGGAGAAGGCACGCUGAUAUGUAGGUGAAGUCCCUCGCGGAUGGAGCUGAAAUCAGUCGAAGAUACCAGCUGGCUGCAACUGUUUAUUAAAAACACAGCACUGUGCAAACACGAAAGUGGACGUAUACGGUGUGACGCCUGCCCGGUGCCGGAAGGUUAAUUGAUGGGGUUAGCCGCAAGGCGAAGCUCUUGAUCGAAGCCCCGGUAAACGGCGGCCGUAACUAUAACGGUCCUAAGGUAGCGAAAUUCCUUGUCGGGUAAGUUCCGACCUGCACGAAUGGCGUAAUGAUGGCCAGGCUGUCUCCACCCGAGACUCAGUGAAAUUGAACUCGCUGUGAAGAUGCAGUGUACCCGCGGCAAGACGGAAAGACCCCGUGAACCUUUACUAUAGCUUGACACUGAACAUUGAGCCUUGAUGUGUAGGAUAGGUGGGAGGCUUAGAAGUGUGGACGCCAGUCUGCAUGGAGCCGACCUUGAAAUACCACCCUUUAAUGUUUGAUGUUCUAACGUUGACCCGUAAUCCGGGUUGCGGACAGUGUCUGGUGGGUAGUUUGACUGGGGCGGUCUCCUCCUAAAGAGUAACGGAGGAGCACGAAGGUUGGCUAAUCCUGGUCGGACAUCAGGAGGUUAGUGCAAUGGCAUAAGCCAGCUUGACUGCGAGCGUGACGGCGCGAGCAGGUGCGAAAGCAGGUCAUAGUGAUCCGGUGGUUCUGAAUGGAAGGGCCAUCGCUCAACGGAUAAAAGGUACUCCGGGGAUAACAGGCUGAUACCGCCCAAGAGUUCAUAUCGACGGCGGUGUUUGGCACCUCGAUGUCGGCUCAUCACAUCCUGGGGCUGAAGUAGGUCCCAAGGGUAUGGCUGUUCGCCAUUUAAAGUGGUACGCGAGCUGGGUUUAGAACGUCGUGAGACAGUUCGGUCCCUAUCUGCCGUGGGCGCUGGAGAACUGAGGGGGGCUGCUCCUAGUACGAGAGGACCGGAGUGGACGCAUCACUGGUGUUCGGGUUGUCAUGCCAAUGGCACUGCCCGGUAGCUAAAUGCGGAAGAGAUAAGUGCUGAAAGCAUCUAAGCACGAAACUUGCCCCGAGAUGAGUUCUCCCUGACUCCUUGAGAGUCCUGAAGGAACGUUGAAGACGACGACGUUGAUAGGCCGGGUGUGUAAGCGCAGCGAUGCGUUGAGCUAACCGGUACUAAUGAACCGUGAGGCUUAACCUUACAACGCCGAAGCUGUU